RNAcentral lists this ribosomal RNA (222 nucleotides) under uncultured bacterium. RNAcentral describes it as "partial 16S ribosomal RNA". It matches the Rfam family "Bacterial small subunit ribosomal RNA", at positions 109 to 334 of the family's 1533-position model. The record is from RNAcentral.
AGUAAUGUCUGGGAAACUGCCUGAUGGAGGGGGAUAACUACUGGAGACGGUAGCUAAUACCGCAUAACGUCGCAAGACCAAAGAGGGGGACCUUAGGGCCUCUUGCCAUCGGAUGUGCCCAGAUGGGAUUAGCUAGUAGGUGGGGUAAUGGCUCACCUAGGCGACGAUCCCUAGCUGGUCUGAGAGGAUGACCAGCCACACUGGAACUGAGACACGGUCCAG